AGAUACUUCUUGAUUUUGUCUCAGUAAUUUGAAGAUGGAUUUGCAAGUAGCGGUCAAAUGGGAGCUAAAUCGGGCGACGUGGUCCAGAUUUACGAUUUCGAUCGAUGCCCCAUGCGGCUGAAUAGUCUUUUCUUCUUGCAGUAGUCUGACAAGUUCUCCAGGUACUUAACAAUCUUCCUCACUUCCAUCCCCGGCUUGGUAGAUCGGAUUUUCAAAGUCGUAAUGAACAGUAGCAGAAUCACUAUCAACAGGAUCCAGAGUGGAUAUGGAUCUGCGAUUUGUUACGUGAGUGUGUGCAAGAAAACAUAGCU
This 311-nucleotide long non-coding RNA is filed under the name Lathyrus oleraceus (garden pea). RNAcentral describes it as "Pisum sativum (pea) long non-coding RNA (PSAT_LNC032855)". Lineage: Eukaryota; Viridiplantae; Streptophyta; Magnoliopsida; Fabales; Fabaceae. The record is from RNAcentral.